RNAcentral lists this non-coding RNA (29 nucleotides) under Cricetulus griseus (Chinese hamster). Lineage: Eukaryota; Metazoa; Chordata; Mammalia; Rodentia; Cricetidae. The record is from RNAcentral.
CAAGACUGUAUACAUAAUAAAUAAAUAAA